CUACGGGUGGCAGCAGUCGAGAAUCGUCUACAAUGGGGGAAACCCUGAUAGUGCGACGCCGCGUGAACGAUGAAACCCUUCGGGGCGUAAAGUUCUUUUCUUUGUGAGCAGAUUAUUUAAUGAGAAUAUUGUUUAAUAAUAGAUAUUAGCAAAGGAAUAAGCCACGGCUAACUCCGUGCCAGCAGCCGCGGUAAUACGGGGGUGGCAAGCGUUGUCCGGAAUCACUAGGCGUAAAGGGCAGGUAGGCGGACUGGUAAGUCAGAUGUUAAAGGCACAGGCUCAACCUGGGUAGGGCAUUUGAUACUGUCAGUCUAGAGUUAGGUAUGGGAGGACGGAAUUUCUGGUGUAGCGGUGGAAUGCGCAGAUAUCAGAAAGAACACCAAAGGCGAAGGCAGUUCUCUUGGCCAUAACUGACGCUAAACUGCGAAGGUGUGGGUAUCAAACAGGAUUAGAUACCCUCGUAGUC
Molecule: ribosomal RNA, 466 nt
Filed under: uncultured bacterium
Lineage: Bacteria
Description: partial 16S ribosomal RNA
Rfam family: Bacterial small subunit ribosomal RNA
Source: RNAcentral